This 115-nucleotide ribosomal RNA is filed under the name Salvia splendens (bonfire salvia). The record is from RNAcentral. Lineage: Eukaryota; Viridiplantae; Streptophyta; Magnoliopsida; Lamiales; Lamiaceae.
GCAAUCAUACCAGCACUAAUGCAACGGAUCCCAUCAGAACUCUGAAGUUUAGCGUGCUUGGGCGAGAAUAGUACUAGGAUGGGUGACCCCCUGGGAAGUCCUCGUGUUGCACCCC